GGCGCGCGCUGUCUGGUGCGAGAGGCUGCAGCCCCCUCUGGGCGGGGAAGGGGGUCCCGCCGCUUGCACGCUCACCUGUAGCACCUGCCCGCCCCUUUGCACACUCACCAGUCCUCACCAUUUGCACACUCACCUACACAAGCUGCUUCCCCUUCUCUUGCACACGUACUUGCAAGAGGUGCCUUCCCCUUGCAUGCUCACCUCCAGAAGCUGCCUUUUCUGCAGGAGCUGCCUUUUCCCCCUUGCACACUCACCUACAGCACAUGCCCCUCCCUCUUGCACACUCACCCAUGGGGGCUGCCCUUCCCCCUCUUUCUGCAGGAGCUGCCUUCUUUCGCUUGCACACUCACACUCACAGAGAGAGGCCAUGGGCUCAGAAGCUUCAAAUAUUAGAUGCAUAGAACUUCUGCUCCAUGAUUGGGGUCUCUUUUGUUGUUUGGAAAGUCAAGCACCUCAGGUGAUGUUAGACUGUGGAGUCUAUACACAACUCCUGCAAACCCAGCUCCUUGGUCUCAGAAAACAAAAACUCAAAUCAAAACUCAACCAAAACUUCCAAAUUUUGCUUGAUUAUGAGUUGAAACUAUGAGCUGAGCAUGGCUUCCACCUGCAGCUGUAAAUGGGACCCAGGCCAACUUGAGACUUGAUCAGAACUGGUGAACUUUAGCAAAUGUUUCAGCGAGUCAGAGUUUCAACUUGAU
Molecule: long non-coding RNA, 698 nt
Organism: Mauremys reevesii (Reeves's turtle)
Lineage: Eukaryota; Metazoa; Chordata; Testudines; Geoemydidae
Exons: 3
Source: RefSeq, a predicted model, not a curated record